CCUGCAGAACCAGAUGACCAGGCUGGAGAACCAACUGUUUACACUGCAGAAACAGACCAGUCCAGCUCCAGUCCAGACCAGUCGUAAGUCAGCGGUGGAGCCGGCCCGUGACCAGGGGGGAAUGGGGGGGCUGGGCCUCGGUGAUCUCCGUCCAUGGCUAGAGAGGAGGGGAGGGCAAUGAGAGACCUCCGAGACAGAGUCCCUGUCAUCCACAUACCUACCCUCACUGGAGCAACUACUCACCUCCCCAGACCCCAAACAGGAGCCGUUUGUGUGGCAGGUGGAGACCGACUAAAGGGAGUUGAAAUCAGAAGUUGACCA
Non-coding RNA from Salvelinus sp. IW2-2015, 321 nucleotides. The record is from RefSeq and is a predicted model, not a curated record. Lineage: Eukaryota; Metazoa; Chordata; Actinopteri; Salmoniformes; Salmonidae.